Molecule: long non-coding RNA, 206 nt
Filed under: Theobroma cacao (cacao)
Lineage: Eukaryota; Viridiplantae; Streptophyta; Magnoliopsida; Malvales; Malvaceae
Description: long non-coding RNA (TCAC_LNC003722)
Source: RNAcentral
AAAUAAAUUCAUUUCACUUCCAAUACUCCAAAUCAUCAAAUAUAAGCUAGAUAACAUGAAUUAUAGCAAAAUCAUCCUCAACAUUUUCUCUUGGAAAAUUCGGCCAUGGUGGGUGCAUAAACACUAUGGUUUUUCACACUUGAUUUUUACACCAUAAAUCAUUAAUUCCUAACCAAAUCACUUGAAAUAAAAUCAAAUCCACCAUC